UGCUUAUGAACUCAAACAAGAAGAAAAUAAUAUGUUUUUUCACCAAAAAAAAAAGAAAGUAUAUCUUUAUUCUACCCAUUCGAAAAGGCUAUGCUUUUGAUUCUCUUAUAAACUAAUGUUAUACUGAGUGUGUUACAUUUGUGUAUCACAGUCAAGAAAUAAGAAGAAGAUUUGCAUAAAAUAACCAUCAAUAGUAAGAUCAAAAAAAUUUGUAUGUUGUCCCCACUCCCAGCUAGUGUUAGCAGAUUGAAGCUUUGGGCAGUGGUUGCAGGUUCGUUUGUUGUGUUUAUCGGAGAAAGCCUUAAACUCGACUGAAUUCCUCAUUGUAAGUACGUUCUCCUCUUUAGGAAAGGGCAUCAACUGCUUUGUUCUCCUUUUCCUACUUAAUAAAUAAUGGUGUAGUCAUAGUCAAGUAGCUUGACCAAUAACCUUUGUUGGCUUGGGAUGGUUUCUCUGUUCCAACAGAAACUUCGAUCUAUGGUGAUUUGGUUUGCUUAAAAAAUGCCUGCCCUGGAGAUAAGUUAUACAUUUUUAUGCAUUUACUAGUGCCAACAACUCCCUUUCACAAUACAGAAGGCACUGUUCUUUGCAGACAACUAAAAAAGCAAUUGGUCUAAUUUCCUAAGCCAACACAGCAUUAGUGCCUCCCUCGAUGCAAGUACAGUCAAAUAAUGACAAUUACCAUUCCAAUGAUGCUAAAAAUGUUAAAAGUCCUCUUCCAUCCUAUAUUCUCGAAUGGGACAAAUGCUUUGGACCCCCUCCCCUUCCCGUUUGAAUGAUAAGAUAGGAAGAUUGAUUACCUGCCCGUGCAGAGCUUUUCACCCAGGACGAAAUAUGCUACAACUGCAAUUAAUAUGGUUGAGAGUGGGUUGAAAACUGAUCCCUUUUGCUCAGUGCACCAGAGUUGUAUGUACACUACUAAAUCAGAGAUCACUAUGCCCUAUUCCAGUUACAAAGAUUCCCAUUAAUUUGUGCAAGUGCUAAGUUGUUUUAGAGAGAAACUAAUGGACCCUUCUUACCCCAUACAGGGUAAACCAUAAAUCAACAUUGAAACUAAUAACAAUUUCCCUUACAAGGGUCAAUGACAUAGCUGUAGAUUUGGUCACCAGACCAAAUAUGAAAGAAAGAUGGGGAUGAAGCUCCUGUAAUCUCUAGUUGAGUUACUACCAUGACAUGGGGUUAUUUGGUAUCUGUAUUUGUAGGAGGUAGCAUUAUAACUUGUUUUGUUGUUGAGUUUUGCUGCUUUUCCCGAGGUGAGGGGUCUAUUUAGGUAUAGCUGCAUCUUUCCCCUUUCUUGAUGUGCAAACGUUGUUACUACAGAGGCUUUGCAAAUUAAAUAUAAGCUAUUGAAUUUUAUUAUAGAGAUUUUCUUGAAAUGUUGUUUCUUGGUAUGAUGUAAAUAGAAAUAUGUUGUCAUGUAAGUGCUAAUGUAGAUUAUUUAUUAUCUUCUUAUAGGUGUUCAAAAUGAAGAAAGAGAUACAAGAAAGUGAUGAAGACAUUGAUCUUACUUAAGAAGAUUUUUGGAUUGUUGAUAAAUGGUCUAAUAUCAAUAUUUUCAAUAUUUAAUUUCUUGAAACUUAUCGCGACUCGAACUUGAUACUAUGUUAAAAUUUAACUAAUCAUUUGGACUUAAU
Molecule: long non-coding RNA, 1634 nt
Filed under: Capsicum annuum
Lineage: Eukaryota; Viridiplantae; Streptophyta; Magnoliopsida; Solanales; Solanaceae
Description: long non-coding RNA (CANN_LNC004973)
Source: RNAcentral